Molecule: non-coding RNA, 1489 nt
Organism: Microcebus murinus (gray mouse lemur)
Lineage: Eukaryota; Metazoa; Chordata; Mammalia; Primates; Cheirogaleidae
Source: RefSeq, a predicted model, not a curated record
UCCAUCCUUACGGUGACUUUAUCUCAGUCAUUUUUUGUUCCCUUUCUCCUGGCAGAUGAGCGGGGCAGAGCUCAUCCUUGCUCUGGGUCCCCAGGUGACAUGCAUGGAUUUGUCACUUGCGGGAAACAGUGUCAGUCAGUGGGUUCACUCCACUUUGAUGCUGCUACAGUCCCUGGAACAGAGGCAUCUGCUGGGUGUAGAAAAAGCCAUGGGCCUGUCCUUUUAUAAAUCAUUAAAACGCCAUGGGCGGGUUGACAAAUUGGCACUGAUCUUCCGGCUCAGCCACUGGGAGCAAUCUGUUCUGCAGACUGAGAGAAACAGCUGUAAAAACGGUGAAAAUCUGUUCUAUUGUGUUCAAACACGUUUCGGUAGACAGGCAGCCUGGUGAGCUGAAAAGACACGGUCUUUGGAACCUGGUUGGAAUCCCGACCUUUCUGCUAUCUGGCUGGGAAUGCUUACCCUGCAAUUAUUCAUUCAGUCAUUCAAGAAAGCUUAUUGAGAAUUUACUAUAUGCCAGGAACUCUGCAAGCAUUUGGAAGAAGAUACAAACGGGCCCCUUGCAGAAGAGUACCAAGACUGGCAGGGGAGAGAGAGCAGAAACGUGGGAAGACCACGUGUCCAUUCCCCCCAGAUGUUUGUAAUGGACCUUGCUGGAGAUGUAAACAGCACAAUACGUGGAUCCAAACUGUAUGUGGAAACAGCCUUUCAAUGAAUUCCUUCAUGUUUUUCCCUCUCUCUUUGUAACAAGGGCAAGGUAUUAAGUUGAAGAUAGAUAUACUUUGUAAUUUUAAUAAGUUUCUUAAUGCUAGGAAGGUGCCCUAUCCUUCUGCCUGCAGGUGUGUGAUGAGGAGAGUGUGGGGGAGCGUGGGAACCCAGAGGGCCUGCGGAAGUCCUCCCUGACCUUCUAGUUUCUCGGAACCUCCUUCCUGUGGGAGUGAGAGAGGGGAGAAUGGGGGAGAUCAGAGCCCAGAGCCCUGAAUCCUUCCUCUAACCAUGCAUGCAAAGCCAAAUCUCUGUCCCCUAAAUAGCAAGGGAUUGCAUGCAGCUGUUUAUCCAAGAGAGUGAGCAUGAAGGAUUCAGCUGAAAGCUUUUCCAGGGGAUGGCAGGAGAGGGAGGAGGGAGCCAGCAUGGGCCGACGACAGGUACAAGAUCCAGAGAUUGAUUCUCUUUCCGUGUCUGCAUCCUCUGCUGAGCAGCGCCAGACUCCCAGUUGUCUACGGACGGCCUCGGCGCUGUGCUCAGGCAAUUUAAAACUUUCUGAGAUUAUCCCUCAAUGCCUGUUUCAGGCUCAGAGGAAAGAAGAAACAAGGUCACUGACAAUUUUUAUGGGUCAGGAAAGUGACAAGCUUAUGCCCAAGCUUUCUUCAAAUGAAAAAGGUAGGAGGCAGGACCUAAACUUUCUUUCCCUUUCACUCUACCCAGUUCUUUUGUUCCUCUCUGUAUUUACUCUGCUCUUUUUCUUCCACGCUGCCUCUCUACUUUCCUUGCU